AUGCACGCUGGCGGCGUGCCUAAUACUUGCCAGUCGAGCGCACAGACGAGGAGCUUGCUCCUCUGACGUUAGCGGCGGACGGGUGAGUAACACGUGGAUAACCUACCUAUAAGACUGGGAUAACUUCGGGAAACCGGAGCUAAUACCGGAUAAUAUAUUGAACCGCAUGGUUCAAUAGUGAAAGACGGUUUUGCUGUCACUUAUAGAUGGAUCCGCGCCGCAUUAGCUAGUUGGUAAGGUAACGGCUUACCAAGGCAACGAUGCGUAGCCGACCUGAGAGGGUGAUCGGCCACACUGGAACUGAGACACGGUCCAGACUCCUACGGGAGGCAGCAGUAGGGAAUCUUCCGCAAUGGGCGAAAGCCUGACGGAGCAACGCCGCGUGAGUGAUGAAGGUCUUCGGAUCGUAAAACUCUGUUAUUAGGGAAGAACAAAUGUGUAAGUAACUAUGCACGUCUUGACGGUACCUAAUCAGAAAGCCACGGCUAACUACGUG
RNAcentral lists this ribosomal RNA (496 nucleotides) under uncultured bacterium. RNAcentral's name for it is "partial 16S ribosomal RNA". It matches the Rfam family "Bacterial small subunit ribosomal RNA", at positions 29 to 507 of the family's 1533-position model. The record is from RNAcentral.